RNAcentral lists this transfer RNA (75 nucleotides) under Bradyrhizobium sp. RNAcentral's name for it is "tRNA-Val". It matches the Rfam family "tRNA". From Rfam's summary of the family: Transfer RNA (tRNA) molecules are approximately 80 nucleotides in length. Lineage: Bacteria; Pseudomonadati; Pseudomonadota; Alphaproteobacteria; Hyphomicrobiales; Nitrobacteraceae. The record is from RNAcentral.
GCGUCUUUAGCUCAGAGGGAGAGCGCCGCCUUGACAUGGCGGAGGCGGCAGGAUCGUUACCUGCAAGACGCACCA